UUCCGGUUGAUCCUGCCGGACCUGACUGCUAUCGGAUUGAUACUAAGCCAUGCUAGUCUUUGUAGUAAUACAAGGCAUACGGCUCAGUAACGCGUAGUCAACCUACCCUAUGGACGGGGAUAAUCUCGGGAAACUGAGCAUAAUACCCGGCAGACCACUUAUCCUGGAAUGGUUAGUGGUUAAAAUGAUUCGUCGCCAUAGGAUGGGACUGCGGCCUAUCAGCUUGUUGGUGAGGUAAUGGCCCACCAAGGCGAUUACAGGUACGGGCUCUGAGAGGAGAGGCCCGGAGAUGGGUACUGAGACAAGGACCCAGGCCCUAUGGGGCGCAGCAGGCGAGAAAACUUUGCAAUGUGCGAAAGCACGACAAGGUUAAUCCGAGUGAUUUCUGCUAAAGGAAUCUUUUGUUAGUUCUAAAAAUACUAGUGAAUAAGGGGUGGGCAAGUUCUGGUGUCAGCCGCCGCGGUAAAACCAGCACCUCAAGUGGUCAGGAGGAUUAUUGGGCCUAAAGCAUCCGUAGCCUGUUCUAUAAGUUUGCGGUUAAAUCUAUACGCUCAACGUAUAGGCUGCCGUAAAUACUGUAGAACUAGGGAGUGGGAGAGGUAGACGGUACUCGAUAGGAAGGGGUAAAAUCCUUUGAUCUAUUGAUGACCACCUGAGGCGAAGGCGGUCUACCAGAACACGUUCGACGGUGAGGGAUGAAAGCUGGGGGAGCAAACCGGAUUAGAUACCCGGGUAGUCCCAGCUGUAAACGAUGCAGACUCGAUGAUGCAAUGGCACAGAGCUAUUGCAGUAUCGCAGGGAAGCCGUUAAGUCUGCCGCCUGGGAAGUACGUACGCAAGUAUGAAACUUAAAGGAAUUGGCGGGGGAGCACCACAAGGGGUGAAGCCUGCGGUUCAAUUGGAAUCAACGCCGGA
This 914-nucleotide ribosomal RNA is filed under the name uncultured archaeon. RNAcentral describes it as "bacterial SSU rRNA". It matches the Rfam family "Archaeal small subunit ribosomal RNA", at positions 1 to 922 of the family's 1478-position model. The record is from RNAcentral.